AGAAAGAAAUCAAACCUUCGAAAUUUCGUGGACUGCCGCCAGACCCACCCAUUCGAAAUCCCACACUCGCUUCAACCUCUCGUUGCUGCAGGUACCGCCGCCCACGUCUGUCGCCGUCGAUCAACGCCGCCACUUCAAUCUAUCGUCUGCAGGUCGCCGUCCACCGCGCGGCUGUCGACUGCAGGUGUUUCCGUUUCUCCCUGUCUCACUGUGUCCCGCCGCCGCCGCGAUCGUCGAUGGUUUCACCUCCGCCACGUCGCUGCUGUUCUUAGCCGCCAGUGUGGUUUUGGGUGUUAGGAAUUGAGAACGAUUGGCGAGUUUUUGGUGAAUUUGGGUUCUUGUUUAUUUGGGUCUUAGAUUCGAGUUUUGGUGGUUGUUAGCGUUGUAUUUCAAAGUUCAAGAGUGUGUGGUUCGUUUUUGGUAAGAAGUAAGGCUUUGAAACCAUUUGGAUUUAAUAUUCCUUGUUGGAAAUUUGGUUUAUAAUCCUUAGUAUUGAAUUUUGCAUAGGUUGGAUUCAUUGUUUGGAGUUUGGAAGAGGAUUUGAAUUUAGCUACACUUUGAGUAAGAGUUGUUUGGAGACUUUUGGAAUACACUUAUGUUUGGAAUUAGACCUUAAAUGUUAAAUAUUAAAUUUGGUUUAUGUUAUAGGGUUUAAUAAGGUUUCUAGAGACACUUGGAAGAGGAUUUGGAUUUAGCUACACUUUGAGGUUUAAUUCAAGGUUUCUAGAGAGUCUUGUUUGCUUGGAUAAUAACACGUUUGGGCAUAAUUUCGAGAACCAAGGACACCACAAUCAUAUUUGUUCUCAUCGUGACUGAGUUGACGACCAAGCCAAGCUUCAUUCCAGGUUGUUUUCCAUUUUGUAUUUACAUUGACGACGAUCAAAUUCUAUAUAGUUUCACCUUUGUUUCACAGCAUAAAUGGAGGAGCGGGACCUAGAACUUGUUUCUGCCAUUAACGAACUCGACGAUCAGUCAUUCCUCUCGCUUUGCUUUGGUCCUUCAGUGUCCAUCAGGACUUGGCUUCUCAACAACGCUGAGAGGUUCCAAUUAAGGCCAUCAUUGUUAUUCACUGUUUUCCUAGGGUUUACGAAAGAUCCGUAUCCAUAUGUUAGGAAAGCUGCUCUUGAUGGCCUAUUAGGUUUGGGGAACACUGUUCUUGAGGAUGGUAGCAUGAUUGAAGGUUGCUAUUGCCGCUCUAUUGAACUUCUAAACGACAUGGAGGAUUGUGUUAGGUCAGCUGCAGUUUCUGUUGUCAUAACUUGGGGUCUAAUGCUUGCGGCACAUAGUCCAGGGAGGAAACAACAUUUGUCUGAUGAAAUAUUUGUGAAUCUAUGUUCCAUGACGAGAGAUAUGAACAUGAAGGUCAGGGUUAAUGCAUUUGAUGCAAUGAAGAGGCUGGAAAUUGUUUCCGAGGAUCUUCUUUUACAAAGUGUGUCCAAGAGAGUCUUGAGUAUCUUCAAGGGUAAAAAAUCUCUUGUUCAAUGCUCUACCGAGCAAUUGGAAAUGUCAGCGUUGGAUGUUGCUGGGGCUUUUGUGCAUGGUGUAGAAGAUGAAUUCUAUCAGGUGCGCAGGUCUGCCUGCGAUGCUUUAUUUAAUUUGACCAUCCUAUCAACUAAAUUCGCUGGCGAGGCCUUAAGCCUAUUGAUGGACCUCCUGAAUGAUGAUUCAGUUUCUGUCCGCUUGCGAGCUUUGGAAACAUUACAUCAUAUGGCGAUGUGCAAUUGUUUGAAAUUGCAAGAAGCGCAUAUGCACAUGUUUCUCAGUGCUUUAAAUGACAAUGAUGGUCAUGUAAGAUCUGCUUUAAGGAAACUUCUUAAAGUAGCAAAGCUACCAGAUUUGGUGACAUUUCAAUUGUCUUUUAAUGGUCUUCUUGAAAGUUUAGAAUCAUACCCGCAGGAUGAGUCUGAUGUGCUCUCUGUGCUAUUUCAUAUGGGUCAGAAUCAUGUAAAUAUGGUCGACUCCAUUAUCAAGGAUGUUUUUGAACAGAUAGACCCAACAUCUGAAGGAAAACUUGGAUUUGAUAGUGCGAAGGUGAUUGCAUACAUUGUUCUAGCUAUUUCGGCUCCCGUUUCAGACAAUCAUACUCGUAGGAUUCCACCAAGAAUAUUUUCUUAUGCAGCUACAAUGCUUGGAAGGAUCUCUCAUGCUUUGGGUGACAUUAUGGAUCAAACCACCGUUUUUGCUUACUUGCUGCAAAACAGUAAACACAUUGGAUUAUCUGAUCUGGGGUUUAAUCCAGAGGGAGACCCAUGCUCACCUACACCUGGAAAUUCUGUCAACGAUAUGCCUGCCAUUGCCUCCCUUAAGAUACCUGCAAUGAUACAUGAGCAGCGGCAGAAAGAUGAUGAUGCCAUAGAAUCUAUCAAGACUAUCCUCUUAAAGGUGCAAGAUAUUUGGCCACUAAUUCAAUCCGGAGGUUUGCAUGAAGCUUUGAGGACUUUGAGGUUCUGCAAGGAAACAUUGGGAAUAUUCACGUAUCGAACAGACAGAUACAGUGGUGCUUUAGCUUUUACAUUGCAGUAUCUCAAGAUAAUGAAACUUAUUGCAGAGGUAUGGAAAUUGAUGUCCUCGAAACAUAGUUGUCCUCGUAGAAUUGGAGAAUGGGGAUUCCUAUUAGGAAAGCUAGAAAGGAGGCUGAAAGAGUUGAGAAGUAGAUUCAUUGGAUUCUCUAAAGAAGAAGAACGACAUAUCUUAGAACUGAUGCUGGUCACUUGUACACUCAGGUUGUCAAGUGGAGAAGUUUGUUGUCAUCUUACAAUUCUGAGAAAGUUGUCUACCAUAGCUACCAACAUAGAACAUCUCCUUAAGGAAGAAUGUAAAGAGCCAUCAACUUUUGUUUGUGAAGUUCAAAGAUCAUUGUCGAACUUAGGCAGGAUUACUCCUAAAGCUCAUUGCAGUUCACCUGAUUUUAGAAAACUGCUCAAAUCUUUCACCCUUAACCAUCUAGAAAUUUCAGAAAACCUUGAGCACGUCAAGGCAGAACUAGUCGUUUUGGAUAACGACUAUGAGAAACCCCUUUAUUUUGUUCCAGGACUACCUGUUGGUAUUCCUUGCCAAAUCAUCCUGCACAAUGUUCGAAGUAAGAGGAAGUUGUGGUUUAGAAUCACGAUGGAUAACAUGACAAGUCAGUUUAUCUUUUUGGAUUUCCUUUCCUUAGGAGGUUGUGAUGAGGUUAGAGAAUUUACGUACAUUGUUCCGUUCUAUAGAACCCCAAAAGCUUCUUCUUUUAUAGCUAGGAUUUGUAUAGGACUUGAAUGUUGGUUUGAGAAUACUGAAGUUAAUGAACGUUGUGGAGGUCCAAAACGUGAUCUAGCAUACAUUUGCAAAGAGAAGGAAGUUUAUUUCUCCAUGAUCCACAAAGGUUGAUUUCGUGUAGGGUUCAUUUAAAAUUAGUCUCUGAAAUAUUGAGCAUGUGAGGAUGGCUACGAAUAUGUUAUGAAGAUAUGAUCAAAAUUAGCCAUAUCAACCCUAGCCUAUUUAUUCCUUAUGGUUCAAAUACUCACUCAUCCUGCUCAUAUCUUGGAUACCCGAACAUAUGCAUAUUGGCCAUUCUUUUUGAAAGAAGAAAAAAGGUCAUAUCGUUCUUUAGAGAUUCAUUAAGCGUGGUUAUAAGCUUAAACAACGUAGCCGUGCGAGCGAAUAAUUGGUGCAAGAUUUGGAUCCCAGGUAUGUGGAAUAGCGUAGCUAAAUUACUCACUCCCGAACUCUGAAUAGAAAGAAAUAUGGAAAUUAUUAAUAUUCAGUACAAGAAUGGCUCAGUUAUGUACAUACAAGUUUUAAAUGCAGUGUAUUUUUAUUCAGACUUCAAUAUCAUAUCCGUAGGUUUAUUUUAUUCUAUUAUUUUGAUUGGUAUAUAGAAACGUAUGAAGCUCCACUUUUUAGGUGUUAACAGAAAUUUUAUACGUGUAUAUAUAUAUUCCUUCUCUUGAAA
Non-coding RNA from Benincasa hispida (wax gourd), 3931 nucleotides. NCBI's taxonomy places the organism in Eukaryota, Viridiplantae, Streptophyta, Magnoliopsida, Cucurbitales, Cucurbitaceae. The record is from RefSeq and is a predicted model, not a curated record.